Molecule: long non-coding RNA, 429 nt
Organism: Adelges cooleyi (spruce gall adelgid)
Lineage: Eukaryota; Metazoa; Arthropoda; Insecta; Hemiptera; Adelgidae
Exons: 3
Source: RefSeq, a predicted model, not a curated record
UUUUCACUCUACAAUACAAGACACAUUUUCAGUAGAGGGACUAGUCUUAACAAACAAUACACAAAACUAUAAAAAAAACAGGAAAAUAGUAUCCGAAUGGCUAAAGUAUACAAAUUUAAAAUCAUUAACACCCGUUUUCUACGAGGAAUCCAAACUUCUAGAUCGCAUACUUGCUAAAAGACGCGAAAGUAAAUCAUUCGAAUGUGAUAUAAGCCGAGCUUUCGAACUAGCGUCGAUGGACACAAUUGGAAGAACUGCUAUGGGAGAAAAAUUUAAUUCACAACAAACAGAAAAUCAUGUAUUUCUAAACAACUAUGAGCAUCUAUUAGAAAUGUUUGCAUACAAAUUUGAGCGUCCGUGGUUUUUCAUUUCGAGAUUAUUUUCACUAUCAUCGAAAAAAGAGCAACAACGAAACAGUCAACAUUCAAU